Molecule: transfer RNA, 65 nt
Filed under: Pselaphinae sp. 3 EF-2015
Lineage: Eukaryota; Metazoa; Arthropoda; Insecta; Coleoptera; Staphylinidae
Description: tRNA-Asp
Source: RNAcentral
AAAAAUUUAGUUAAUUAAUAACCUUAGUUUGUCAAACUAAAAUAAUCAUUUAUUGAUAAUUUUUA